RNAcentral lists this ribosomal RNA (418 nucleotides) under uncultured bacterium. RNAcentral's name for it is "bacterial SSU rRNA". It matches the Rfam family "Bacterial small subunit ribosomal RNA", at positions 45 to 443 of the family's 1533-position model. The record is from RNAcentral.
UGCCUAACACAUGCAAGUCGUACGAAAUUUUUAAAUUUAAAUUUAGUGGCGGACGGGUGAGUAACACGUGAGAAUUUACCUUUAGGAGGGGGAUAACAAUUGGAAACAAAUGCUAAAACCCCAUAUUGCUUCUAAGCGAAGUGAAAGAGAAGAGAUAUAAAUGUAUCGACACCUUAGACGUGGCUAAUUCUGCCUAAAGAGAAGCUCGCGGCUGAUUAGCUUGUUGGUAAGGUAAAAGCUUACCAAGGCGACGAUCAGUAUCUGGUUUGAGAGGACGAUCAGACACACUGGAACUGAGACACGGUCCAGACUCCUACGGGAGGCAGCAGUGGGGAAUUUUCCGCAAUGGGCGAAAGCCUGACGGAGCAAUACCGCGUGAGGGAAGACUGCCUAUGGGUUGUAAACCUCUUUUUUCAGG